This 519-nucleotide ribosomal RNA is filed under the name uncultured eukaryote. RNAcentral describes it as "SSU rRNA". It matches the Rfam family "Eukaryotic small subunit ribosomal RNA", at positions 1161 to 1699 of the family's 1831-position model. The record is from RNAcentral.
AGGGCACCACCAGGAGUGGAGCCUGCGGCUUAAUUUGACUCAACACGGGAAAACUUACCCGGCCCGGACACUGGAUGGAUUGACAGAUUGAGAGCUCUUACUUGAUUCAGUGGGUGGUGGUGCAUGGCCGUUCUUAGUUGGUGGAGCGAUUUGUCUGGUUAAUUCCGAUAACGAACGAGACUCUAGCCUACUAAAUAGACUACCGUUCCUUUGUGACGGUAGGGCUUCUUAGAGGGACAGGCGGCGACUCAGCCGCACGAAACAGAGCAAUAACAGGUCUGUGAUGCCCUUAGAUGUCCGGGGCCGCACGCGCGCUACACUGAAGUGAUCAGCGUGCAUUAAUAACCCUCUCUGUCAAGAGUGGGUAACCCAUUGAACCUUCUUCGUGAUUGGGAUAGGGUAUUGUAAUUCUUACCCUUGAACGAGGAAUUCCCAGUAAGCGCGAGUCAUAAGCUUGCGUUGAUUACGUCCCUGCCCUUUGUACACACCCCGCCGUCGCUACUACCGAUUGAAUGAUGU